Molecule: ribosomal RNA, 476 nt
Filed under: uncultured bacterium
Lineage: Bacteria
Description: bacterial SSU rRNA
Rfam family: Bacterial small subunit ribosomal RNA
Source: RNAcentral
GAUGAACGCUGGCGGCGUGCCUCAAACAUGCAAGUCGAGCGAGGCUAUGAGUUACCGCAAGGUAAGGCAUAGCCUAGCGGCGAACGGGUGAGUAACACGUGGGUAACCUACCUGGAAGACAGGGAUAACGAUUCGAAAAGGGUCGCUAAUACCUGAUAAUAUCCAUCUGCCGGAUGGCGGAGGGAAGAAAGGGGAAACCCGCUUUCAGAUGGGCCCGCGUCCCAUCAGCUAGUUGGUAAGGUAAAGGCUUACCAAGGCGACGACGGGUAGCCGGUCUGAGAGGAUGUACGGCCACACUGGGACUGAGAUACGGCCCAGACUCCUACGGGAGGCAGCAGUUGGGAAUCUUAGGCAAUGGACGAAAGUCUGACCUAGCGACGCCGCGUGAGGGAAGAAGGCCUUCGGGUUGUAAACCUCUGUCAUGGGGGAAGAAGGAAGUGACGGUACCCCAAGAGGAAGCCCCUGCUAACUACGUG